Molecule: ribosomal RNA, 497 nt
Filed under: uncultured bacterium
Lineage: Bacteria
Description: partial 16S ribosomal RNA
Rfam family: Bacterial small subunit ribosomal RNA
Source: RNAcentral
GAUGAACGCUGGCGGCGUGCCUAAUACAUGCAAGUCGAGCGAACGGACGAGAAGCUUGCUUUUCUGAUGUUAGCGGCGGACGGGUGAGUAACACGUGGAUAACCUCCCUAUAAGACUGGGAUAACUUCGGGAAACCGGAGCUAAUACCGGAUAAUAUUUUGAACCGCAUGGUUCAAAAGUGAAAGACGGUCUUGCUGUCACUUAUAGAUUGAUACGCGCUGCAUUAGCUAGUUGGUAAGGUAACGGCUUACCAAGGCAACGAUGCAUAGCCGACCUGAGAGGGUGAUCGGCCACACUGGAACUGAGACACGGUCCAGACUCCUACGGGAGGCAGCAGUCGGGAAUCUUCCGCCAUGGGCGAAAGCCUGACAAAGCAACGCCGCGUGAGUGAUGAAGGUCUUCGGAUCGUAAAACACUGUUAUUAGGGAAGAACUUAUGUGUAAGUAAAUGUGCACAUCUUGACGGUACCUAAACAGGAAGCCACGGCUAACUACGUG